Molecule: ribosomal RNA, 113 nt
Filed under: Myotis davidii
Lineage: Eukaryota; Metazoa; Chordata; Mammalia; Chiroptera; Vespertilionidae
Source: RNAcentral
GUCUACGGCCAUACCACCCUGAACGUGCCGGAUCUCGUCUGAUCUCGGAAGCUAAGCAGGGUUGGGCCUGGUUAGUACUUGGAUGGGAGAAAGAUACAGGGGUCUUCUAGGCC